AGCAGAUACACUCCAACAUCAUUGGUAUCUUAUUACAAAGAAGGCAACAAAAUGCAGGAAUUAGUGAGCUGGGGUGAUGCUGGUGUCUAAUGGGGCAAGUCAAAGUGGGUCAAGCUGGAUGCCACUGUCACCUACUGAGCCAGCCACUCCCCAGCACCCUAUUAACCCUGACCACUGGACCAAUCACUGCCUCUGGCAGAAGGAUAUGGACCCUAUCCCUGAGGAAGCCACUAUGGAGGAAGGGACAGGGGAGUGCACAGAUGGAAAAUCAAGGCAGGAGCACGAGGGUAACUCGCCCAAGGUGAGAAGACAAGAGACAACUGGCACACACCUGGCACUCACCUGGUCCCCAGCCACGCUUCAUGCUCAGAAGCCGCCUGUAUGGAGAACUGACAUUGUCACAUUCCAGCCGGGAAAACGUCACCCAAACCAUGCCCCGCCUCUUCUGCCUUUCUUCUCCCUCAAGCUCCCAAGGACAGACCUGUGUUUGCCCACCCAGGAAGCCUCCCACCUGCAGCUGAACACUUGGCUCACUCUGUUGCUGUGCUCACCUGCAGGGGCAGAUGGACCCGUCCCAGGUUUCAUUCAGAUGUCAAGACAAGCCUGGUGCCCUGGCACAUGCCUAUCAUCCUAGCACUUGGGAGGCUGAGGCAGGAGGAUCACUGUGAGUUCAAG
Molecule: long non-coding RNA, 675 nt
Filed under: Heterocephalus glaber (naked mole-rat)
Lineage: Eukaryota; Metazoa; Chordata; Mammalia; Rodentia; Bathyergidae
Description: lncRNA (ENSHGLG00000039758.1)
Source: RNAcentral